UUAUGAGGGACUUCUAGUUUCAUGCCUUUGAUUAUUGUUCCAUAAAGUUUGGUAAUGUCUUUUGAAGGUGUGGUAUGGAUUUGAAUUUUAGCUUUUUGCAAUUUUCUUAUGUGUAAUGAAUCUAUGCUACUUUUACCUUUACCUGUAUUUAACUAUACUUUUAUGGAUUAAAAUAUAGUUUAAUGGGUCAAAAACAUUUGUUGCAUACUAUGAACAUACCAAUUAUAUAAUCAUACUCUCUCCUCAGGUUAAGUGACCUACUUUAGAUUCUCACUUUUACACUUCUAUUGCCCUGUAUACUAUAUGUUCGCAUGUGAACCUUAUUGCACAUAGUUAAUUGUUGUCGUUGCUCCUUACGGACGAAUUAGCCUCCGACUCCUUUCUCUUGAUUAGAUCUAGCUUAUCAAAUUGACCUAUGUGAAAGAUUCUCUUGGCAAUGGUGUGGUUUGCAUGCUAAGUCUACCACACUCGCUAACAUGGCUAAGUAUAUGGAGUGUUUAGUUCACCUAAUCGUACAAAAGUAAGGAAGAAAAACAAACAUGUCAAGUUUUAUGAGUUAAGUAAAGUUUAAUGGGGAGAAAUUUGAUGGAAUAAUCAACCUUUGGCUUAUAGCAAGUUCAAGUUAAGAAUGUGCUAAUACAAAGGGGGAUUAUACAAUGCCUUGAAGGAAGACCAUACAAUAGUACUUCCAACAAAUGAUGGUAGUCCAUGAGAUCAGUCUAGUGGUGAUUCCAGUGAAGUGUUCUAAGACCUCCAACAUGAAAGAUAAAGAUUGGAAGGAAAUUAAAUGGAUUUGAGAGCGCUACAAGUGCAAUCAAACUAAAUUUUGUUAAAAAAAUUUUUGCAAGCGUGCAAAGAUCUCUAGGAGAAGCUUGAAGCAUUGUAUUAGACAAAAAAAAAAAAAGCAUAUCCAAUCGAUAUAUUGUAUCUGAAGCAGCAGCUUCACACAUUGUGAAUGGUGGAAAAUACAAAAAUAUUAAAUUACUUGACUAAUCUCAAUGACAUCGUUUUUGAGCUAGAGGUGAUAAAAGUAAAGAUAGAUUAAGUUGAUCAAGAUAAGACACUCCGAUCCCAACACUUCUGAUCACUUCCUUCUUCUUUUGUACAUGAAGCCAAUGUUGAUAUAUAAGAAGAAAACUUUAGUUUUUA
Cucumis sativus (cucumber) is the source of this 1149-nucleotide long non-coding RNA. RefSeq lists it as uncharacterized. NCBI's taxonomy places the organism in Eukaryota, Viridiplantae, Streptophyta, Magnoliopsida, Cucurbitales, Cucurbitaceae. The record is from RefSeq and is a predicted model, not a curated record. The transcript is spliced from 2 exons.